UCUGCUCGAGCACCACGUGCCAGGGGUUGGGCAGGCGGGCAAGUGUUUCUCAGCACAGCCCGAAGGCGGUGUCACAACAGGACAAUUACAAAGCCCUUAUCGUUUACCUAGAGACCAACAGCCCCUGCCCGGCAACACAUCCUGAAGACAGUAGUGCCCUUCGAUCAAAGUAAACGCGAAACCACCAGGAUGUCCUCAGUGCCCUAUUUAUUUUUCUCAUUUUCAUGCUUCAGAAACCAUUACACCUUAUAAUGGAUGUGCUUCUUUUCUGAAAAAUGUAUAAACCUAUAGUCUGCCUUUUAAUAGGUGGAAUCCUAACUUUGAACAAGUGGUAUCUUGAAGAAAUACAGUGAUACUCGACAUAUGCUGUUUAAAAAGAUAAGGAAGCAUGUAAAGCAUUAGAAACACUUACAUCAAGAAAUGUUAGAAUAUAUAGACGCUCUAUGUGGAGAAGCUUUAGCUACCUGUGUUUAAGAUGUGUAAAACCCUAUUCCUGUGUCUGGCUGAGAUGAGGUGUUUCAUCCACAUGAUGGCUAGUGUGGUAGGUACCAACAUCCAGACUUGAGUUAAAAACACUUCAGAGCAUCCCUUAUGGAUGAGAUCAGGGCUCUCAGGCCAGAUCCAGCUCGGUCUAUUUUUGUGCAUCCCUUGAGCUUAGAAUGGGUUUUACAUUUUUAAGUGGUUGAAAAAAAAAAUCAAAAGCAGAAUAUUUCAUGUGACACAUGAAAGUCACAUGAAAUUCACAGUUCAGGGUCCGUAAAUAGAGCUCUGCUGGAACGCAGUUACACCCACUCGCCUCCGCCGGCCUCCGGAUAGAGGCAAGAGGCCCCCAGGCCUAAUCCGCUUCCUGUGGGGCCCGGGAGCCCCUGGGACACGCCGACCAGAAGGAAGGUCAGGACAGCAUCUGGGAAACAAGGUGGAAAAGCAGGAACAGAACACACGCCGUGAGGUCGCCUCCCUUCGUUAGCAUGAACCUUAGAAAACUCAAUAUCCGUGUACACGCGUCAUCGUCGACUGUUUCCACUGGUGUCAUUUCACAUCAUCAUGUUUACAUGUUAUUUACGUAUACGAGGAAUAUGCCCAUCUGCUGCUCGAGUCUGCCCUAGGACAAAGUCAGUUCAAUCCAGCCCUGUGGCGUCCUCAGUGGGCAAGACACAGUCAUUUCCUCAGAGCCCGCCAGCUAGGAACGAGUUUUGUAAAUGGAAAGCUGCGACCCACGGCACCUGAAAUUAAUCUAGUGGCUCCACAGUCAACAUUUAAAUGAAAAAAUGAAACACUAGAUUAUCAGAGAA
Molecule: non-coding RNA, 1292 nt
Organism: Odocoileus virginianus texanus
Lineage: Eukaryota; Metazoa; Chordata; Mammalia; Artiodactyla; Cervidae
Source: RefSeq, a predicted model, not a curated record